GAAGCACCAACUGGGCUUUCCCUGCGUUGUAGGAAGUGACCCUGCUCUGAACUCUCGGCUGCGCCAGUGAAACGCCGGGGAGUUAUCGAUCGGCCGUGGGAAGCGGCUCUCCGAGGUCUUCCCUCCCCGGCUUCGACUUUCCCCAGAACUCAACGCCGAGAAAUCCCGGGGAGAAGCGAGCCCUGCAGUCACCUCCCCGGCACGCUCCACUUGGCCCGCGCCCGCCUUCACCUGCGAAGCUGCUGACGCCGAAGUGAUUUGAUCAAUAAAUAAAAUCAACAAUCUAAGAAGAUAGUAACUCAGAGGUGUGAAAUCUACCUGCCUGGCAAGCAUGAGACCAGGAAUUCCACCCUUCCCACCACCCCCACUGCAUCUGGAAUUCUUAACACUACAACAAAGGAUGUGAUCUUCAGUGCACUGCAACCAAGUGUGUGCUAACAGCACAAUGAAAACGUAAAACCAUCAGUGAACAUUGCAACUCCAUGUGUGAGCACCACAACCAAGUCUGAGCCUGAGCAGGAAUUAUAUAAUUUGGUGAAUUUAACAAUUACAUGGUCUAGUUAAGAAGACUUUUCCAGGCGCUUGGAGUGUUGCUCAGUUGGAACACUUGCCCUGCCUGUGUGAGCCCCAGGGAAACACAAGGAUGGUGGAAGAGGAGGAGGAGGAAGAGACCAGAGACCGAUCAGAGCCUUAGAACCUGGAGAGUG
Sorex araneus (European shrew) is the source of this 707-nucleotide long non-coding RNA. RefSeq lists it as uncharacterized. Lineage: Eukaryota; Metazoa; Chordata; Mammalia; Eulipotyphla; Soricidae. The transcript is spliced from 3 exons. The record is from RefSeq and is a predicted model, not a curated record.